GAUAUCACCGCUAAUUAAGUCCUGAUCCCCUGGCUCCACUUGAAACAAACCAAGGAGGGAUCAAGUUUUGCGAGCAGGUGCUAACUGGUUGCAAAAGAGGAGUCCAUCACUUCAGCAAAAGGUUUCACUGUACCUUGGGGAGGACACAGCUUUUCUGAGGAAAGUCAUUACUGGACAGAGCCAUAGGCUCUUAUUUUGUCUUAGGACACGGAGGAGCUUGUAAAAAACAAAAAAACACAAAAAACAAUCCUCCGCUGUGACAAACAACUGUUUUCCUUUCCUGUGUUUUCCCCUUGAUGGCUGAUUUACUUUCUCCUCAGAUGGACAAUGGAGUAAUUUACAGUCUUCACAGGAAUGUAGGCGAUUAGCCACGGAGCCCUUCUCUGUCUAGCAUCAGGCAUCAGACGCCCAACUAUACAGAGGCCAUUUGAAUGGAACUGCAGAAUAAUCUUCAGAAGAAAAAGCAAGCUCACAUGAGUGGCAGCAGCCCAUUGUGCUGAGUUAAAGACGCUGGAGAGAGUCUGGUUGGCGGUGGGGAGGUGUGGUGUUGAUGACAAUGAUGGGGCCGUGGCUGGAGAGGUUAAUGUCAGUCUCACAGACCCUGUGUGUGGAAAUUGAGUAACAGAAAAAUUAACUUGCCAAGAUAACACAGCUAGUAAAUAGUAGAGCUGUGAUUUGAAGCCAGGCAGUGAACUUCAGAAAUCCUUUCUGUUGAUGUGGGGAGUGGAGGACUCCAGACCCUGCCCAUUUGGCCUUGCCUCGUCUCUUUUUACUCUAGAAAAUGCUGUGGCUCUAUCAAAUACAGCUCAAAAAGCUACUCAUCCAGUUCAACUCUCUCCUUUGAAAGAUGAAGAUAUUGAGACCCAGAGAGGUGGAUACCCUGAGGUGGAGAAGAGACUGAAUAUGCCCACUGCAUCCAAAGCAAGGCUGGAGCUGACUUGAGCUUACUUGGCUUCAUAAAGCUUGAACACCAUAGAUGCUUUUAUAUGUCUUUCCUGUUCGAUUACUCUGGAUAGAGUGUGCUACUCCUAACACAAAGCAAAACCAAACCAAAAAACAAACCUCUCUUUUUCAUUUCCUUAAAGAAAAAAGAAAUUUAAUUUGGAUUCAGAUAAUACCCUUAUAACUUCUAAGGCAGUCAAGCAAGGAGGGGAACAGAUAAUUAGGAGAUGAUGGGAGCCAGCACAAAGCCAAAUGGAAGAAAACAGGCACACAGUAAGGCGGCAAAAGCCACCACCUAAUCCAUUAACAGCCUGCACUAUAAUUACGCUUGGCUCUGGCAUUAAACUGGUGAAAGCACAAAGGAGACACUAUUAAAGUCUUAAUUCCCACAAAAGGAAGCUCAUCCUGUGUAACAGCAAGUACUGUGCACCAAAGCGGCACCUAAAUGAAUAUUAUGGCAAAUUCUAAUUUAGCACUUAGUAGGAGCAUUCCACAAAAUUGCAAAAAUAAAGAGGAAGAAAGCUGAACGUGGUAAUUCAUGCCUGUAGUCCCAGCUACUCAGGAGGCUGAGGCAGGAGGAUUGCCUGAGCCCAAGAGUUUGAGGCUAGCCUGGACAACAUAGCAAGACUUUCAUCUCUACACAAAAUUAUUAGCUGGAUGUGGUGGCAUGUACCUGUAGUACCAGCUGGUCGAGAGGCUGAGACAAGAAGAUUGCUUGAGCCCAGGAGUUCAAAGUCAGCCUGGGCAACAUAGCGAGACCCUGUUUCUCAAAAAUAAUUAGAAAAAUAAAUAAAGGAGAAGAAAAGACUAGGUGGUGUUUCUUUAAAGGCAGUUCUUGCUGUUGCUCUAUGGGUUCACUUUCUCCCCAACCCCCAACCUUCUCAACCUUUCUCCAACCUCUCCAGCCCUCCCCAGCCCUCCCCAGCCUGUGUCUCUGCCCUCCCCAACCCCUCAUCGUCAGAUGGUUUUAAGCAUGUGGCUUCCUGAAAGCUGUGGGUCAGGAGGUAGCAGCAGGCCAAGUCUUCCUCCUUCGGCAGAAGGAGGAGCAGUGUGAGGUGCAAGUGGGCAGAGGCAGAGACUGAAAGUUCUUGAGGAGAACAGGUGUGAGGCCACAGGAAGCUCCACCAGGCACCUGGCUGCACAGUGACUUUUGCAGUGACAGUGCUUCAGCCUCCUUCCACGGGACCGCAGGAUUCAAAAUGGCAUCACCUCCACUUCUGUCAAUACAUCCGCAAGAGGGCUAGCA
RNAcentral lists this long non-coding RNA (2188 nucleotides) under Homo sapiens (human). Its description in RNAcentral is "HSALNT0076001". The record is from RNAcentral. Lineage: Eukaryota; Metazoa; Chordata; Mammalia; Primates; Hominidae.